RNAcentral lists this ribosomal RNA (418 nucleotides) under bacterium enrichment culture clone ALO1_GLFRUDD03HE0VB. Its description in RNAcentral is "bacterial SSU rRNA". It matches the Rfam family "Bacterial small subunit ribosomal RNA", at positions 9 to 429 of the family's 1533-position model. The record is from RNAcentral.
GAGUUUGAUCAUGGCUCAGAUUGAACGCUGGCGGCAUGCCUUACACAUGCAAGUCGAACGGCAGCACGGGAGCUUGCUCCUGGUGGCGAGUGGCAAACGGGUGAGUAAUGCAUCGGAACGUAUCCUGGAGUGGGGGAUAACGUAGCGAAAGUUACGCUAAUACCGCAUAUUCUGUGAGCAGGAAAGCGGGGGACCUUCGGGCCUCGCGCUCUUGGAGCGGCCGAUGUCGGAUUAGCUAGUUGGUGAGGUAAAGGCUCACCAAGGCGACGAUCCGUAGCAGGUCUGAGAGGAUGAUCUGCCACACUGGAACUGAGACACGGUCCAGACUCCUACGGGAGGCAGCAGUGGGGAAUUUUGGACAAUGGGGGCAACCCUGAUCCAGCCAUGCCUCGUGAGUGAAGAAGGCCUCGGUUGUAAG